This 474-nucleotide ribosomal RNA is filed under the name Enterobacter hormaechei subsp. xiangfangensis. RNAcentral describes it as "partial 23S ribosomal RNA". It matches the Rfam family "Bacterial large subunit ribosomal RNA", at positions 1 to 506 of the family's 2925-position model. Lineage: Bacteria; Pseudomonadati; Pseudomonadota; Gammaproteobacteria; Enterobacterales; Enterobacteriaceae. The record is from RNAcentral.
GGGUUGUGAGGUUAAGCGACUAAGCGUACACGGUGGAUGCCCUGGCAGUCAGAGGCGAUGAAGGACGUGCUAAUCUGCGAAAAGCGCCGGCGAGGUGAUAUGAACCCUUGACCCGGCGAUGUCCGAAUGGGGAAACCCAGUGUGUUCCGACACACUAUCGUUAACUGAAUACAUAGGUUAACGAGGCGAACCGGGGGAACUGAAACAUCUAAGUACCCCGAGGAAAAGAAAUCAACCGAGAUUCCCCCAGUAGCGGCGAGCGAACGGGGAGCAGCCCGGAGUCUGAAUCAGCUUGUGUGUUAGUGGAACGGUCUGGAAAGUCCGACGGUACAGGGUGAUAGUCCCGUACACGAAAAUGCACAUGCUGUGAACUCGAAGAGUAGGGCGGGACACGUGGUAUCCUGUCUGAAUAUGGGGGGACCAUCCUCCAAGGCUAAAUACUCCUGACUGACCGAUAGUGAACCAGUACCGUGA